Molecule: long non-coding RNA, 2116 nt
Filed under: Medicago truncatula (barrel medic)
Lineage: Eukaryota; Viridiplantae; Streptophyta; Magnoliopsida; Fabales; Fabaceae
Description: long non-coding RNA (MTRU_LNC001152)
Source: RNAcentral
CCAUAUAAGUGUGGUCACUAAUCACAAUCCGAAGAUAACAUUUAUUCUCAUUUUCAAUAUAAUCUAUUAAAAAUCAUAUGGUAAAAUCUUAACUCUUUAACUAGCAGAAUUCAGGAUACAAUGAGUAAGCAUGGGAUAAGAUACAAGCAAAGAAGUAACCCACCUGAGUUAGCUUCCACUCCUUUAUACUCUCGACAUCAAAAGAAUUAUGUGUAUGGACAUAUUUUGAGUCUUAAUUUAAAAUUUUGAACCAAACCAAUAUCGAGGAAACAUAUAUGAAAUAUGGAUACUUGAUAAGAAUUUGGGACAGAGAUGCAAGGAACUCUUAAAAACUCAAGGCUUGAGCUACGAUUCAGCCUAGUUAAAGGUUAUAAAAUUUAGGGUCCUGCUAACAAGUGUUGUCGGGGUUAGGGGCUUGGGGAACUUGUUAAGGAAGAAACCAAAAGUAGUAGGUUUACGUUGGAAUCAACAAUUUUUAAGCUUUUAAAAAGUUCAAUUCACCACGUUUUACCAUUUCUCAAUACAAUAUUUCUAUUUUUGUUCUCUUAAACAAUGCUCUAAAGGCACUCUUUAGCAUUUCCCUAAAAUUUAAUGUUAUUUUACAUAAACAUAAAUUGUUUGUAAAUUUGAUAUAUCUCAUUAAAUUGUAACUAUAUCAGCAGAAGCCAAUCAAUAUUUAUAAAAAUAUUUCUGUAAUCACAGCAAAAAGGCAUAGACACAUCUUUCCUAAUCCCUUUCAAUAUAUAUUCUUUCCCCCACACACAUCAUGCAAGAAUUGCAAAUUUCCCCUCUCCAACCAAUGUUAUAAUCAGAUAAGGCAUCGCUAGUCCUAUUUAAGAGAAGCCUUUGCUCUAUUCAGUUGUCUAUUAUCUAAUACUAAUUGUACAUAUUCAUCUAUCACAUUUCGAUCAUCUAAAAUAACACAGCUUCUUAGUUUAUGACGAGGCAACUCCGCCAAUUCAAAAAAUACAGAGGUUGGAUUAGACACAUCUUUCCUAAUCCCUUUCAAUAUAUAUUCUUUCCCCCACACACAUCAUGCAAGAAUUGCAAAUUUCCCCUCUCCAACCAAUGUUAUAAUCAGAUAAGGCAUUGCUAGUCCUAUUUAAGAGAAGCCUUUGCUCUAUUCAGUUGUCUAUUAUCUAAUACUAAUUGUACAUAUUCAUCUAUCACAUUUCGAUCAUCUAAAAUAACACAGCUUCUUAGUUUAUGACGAGGCAACUCCGCCAAUUCAAAAAAUACAGAGGUUGGAUUCAAAAAACCAACAAUAUCAUCAACUGGGUCAACACUAACAUGCGGCAACCGUCACCUUUUCUAGACAAAAUACAGAGGUCGGAUUAAACAGAAUCUCUGCCCUUUUUGGAUCUAUUUUGUUUCUGUUCAAAUAAUGAAUCAAAGAGUGUGUAGUAAUGAACUUCAACCCUUCUCACAACACCAUGAAGAAAAAGGUUGAACAAGUAGCUAUUUUUUUAGGUAGAGAAAGACUGUACAAGGAGCACUAAGGUAACUAGAUUAUGAUGUAUCCCAACUGUAUUCGAGUAGUGUUUAAAAUGUGGCGGUCAAUAAUUCCUCGAAAAGAAUAUUGGAGCAUACUCCCUUCCCUAUAAGUAUUGUACACGUACCAGUAUCGGAUGCGGCAACAAAACCCACUUAUACUCAAAUUUGGAGUACCUGGGUUCAUAGGUAACAUGCAAGACUACCGUAAAAAGAAUCCUUAAUUUCAAGAAAUACAACAUAACUGAACAUGGGAACUGACCAAACAAUGAUAUUACUUAAUAUCCCGAAGGGUAAACAUCCAAAUUAAUUUCAGCAAGCACCUUUCUUCGAAUUCCGAAAGUCUCAUGUUAAUUCAGAAAUCCUCAAAUGCUGGUGAUAUUAGUCGUUAAGAAGGACUAACAUGACUGAUAUUUGAGGUUCCAAGGGACUAGUGUGAUUUUCACAUUCUCUAAGACUAAUGACUCCAACUAAAUUUCUGGGACACAAAUUGAGGGAGUAUGUGUCAAUAUUCAUAAAAUUUUGCUAUAGGAACAUGCACUUGAAAUUAAAUUCUAUUAAAAUAACAAUUACCUCUAGCAUUAAGAAAUAAUAAUAGAAAAUGAUGCAGUAAUGCAGUAUACAU